GGGGUUGUGGCUCAGUGGCAGAGCACUCACCUAGUACGAAUGAGGCACUGGGUUCAAUCCUCAGCACCACA
RNAcentral lists this transfer RNA (71 nucleotides) under Marmota monax (woodchuck). Its description in RNAcentral is "tRNA.Thr". Lineage: Eukaryota; Metazoa; Chordata; Mammalia; Rodentia; Sciuridae. The record is from RNAcentral.